This is a long non-coding RNA of Hydra vulgaris (swiftwater hydra), 775 nucleotides long. RefSeq lists it as uncharacterized. The record is from RefSeq and is a predicted model, not a curated record. Lineage: Eukaryota; Metazoa; Cnidaria; Hydrozoa; Anthoathecata; Hydridae.
AAAACUCAUUAAAAAUUAAAAUUAGUUUAGAUCAUUUAAAUACUUUGAUCUCGAAGCGUUAAGUGUAUAACCUAUAUUUAGUUGACUGUCUAAUCUUUAUCGAGUUUAAUACUUGGUUAAACUUGUAUUUUAAUAUCUUAGGAAAGCAUAUACUGAAUAAGUAAGAUGAUACGUCAACAAAUAAUAGUUAUAAUGUGCAUGAUUUUUAUUGUAAGCAUCGCAGAAUGUGGCAAAGGAGAUAUCAGGAGAGGCUAUCGCUGCAAUGGAGGCAAAUGUCAAGUAUAUGAUUAUUAUGAAAGGGAAUGGUGUUACCCUAGAAGAGAUCGAUCUCAUAGGUUCAGACCGCCAAAAUGUGUACAUUACUCAGAUUGCUAUGGGUUGGAUUGUGAAUAAAGUAGUAUGUCAAAAGAUAACCAAAGAAAAGAAGAAAAAAAGAAGAAAAAAAACUUUUGAUUAACUAGUAUAACAUACAAAGUUAGUCGGUACUUUUUGAAUACCGACUAACUUUCAUGAUGGUUCUUGGUAUAUGAUGGGCUUUGGACCAGCUGCGGAGCUGGAGCCGGAGCUAUUCGAGGCUGGUGAUUUUACUAGGAGCUGAGCCGGAGCUGGAGUCAAGAUAUUACCUGCCGAAGCUGGCGACGGACCAACUCCAAGCCAGUUCCACCCUUUUGAUAUUUUGAAAUAUCAAAUUUCCAUAAAGUUAUUAUUUUAUAUAAUUAGAUUUUGUUAAAGAAUUUAAACAAUUACGUUCAUUAAAAUAUCUAAAAUUUCUAAA